RNAcentral lists this ribosomal RNA (506 nucleotides) under uncultured bacterium. RNAcentral describes it as "partial 16S ribosomal RNA". It matches the Rfam family "Bacterial small subunit ribosomal RNA", at positions 28 to 523 of the family's 1533-position model. The record is from RNAcentral.
GAUGAACGCUAGCGGCAGGCCUAACACAUGCAAGUCGAGGGGCAGCACAUAAAGUGGUUUACUACUUUUGGUGGCGACCGGCGGACGGGUGCGUAACGCGUAUGCAACCUGCCUCCAACAGGGGGAUAACGGAGAGGAAUUUCCACUAAUACCCCAUAAUAUCAGAAUCGGCAUCGGUUUUGGUUGAAAACUCCGGUGGUUGGAGAUGGGCAUGCGUUGCAUUAGAUAGUUGGUGAGGUAACGGAUCACCAAGCCAACGAUACAUAGGGGGACUGAGAGGUUAGCCCCCCACACUGGUACUGAGACACGGACCAGACUCCUACGGGAGGGCGCAGUGAGGAAUAUUGGUCAAUGGGGGCAACCCUGAACCAGCCAUGCCGCGUGCAGGAAGACGGCUCUAUGAGUUGUAAACUGCUUUUACAAGGGGAUAAAUCGGUGUACGUGUACACCGUUGAAGGUACCUUGGGAAUAAGGAUCGGCUAACUCCGUGCCAGCCGCCGCCGUAA